This 308-nucleotide unclassified non-coding RNA is filed under the name uncultured fungus. Its description in RNAcentral is "partial contains small subunit ribosomal RNA, internal transcribed spacer 1, and 5.8S ribosomal RNA". The stretch from base 1 to 73 matches the Rfam family "Eukaryotic small subunit ribosomal RNA", at positions 1759 to 1831 of the family's 1831-position model. Lineage: Eukaryota; Fungi. The record is from RNAcentral.
GCAAACUUGGUCAUUUAGAGGAAGUAAAAGUCGUAACAAGGUCUCCGUUGGUGAACCAGCGGAGGGAUCAUUAACAGUGGAGUGCACGUAGCUCCUAAACCCAUUGUGAACAUACCUAAAAGUCAGUUGCCUCGGCGGGAGGCCCCUGGGAGGGGCCCCGGGGCCCGGCCUGAGCCGGGCUCCCGCCGGGGGAGCACAAACCAAAACUCUUUGCUGUACCCCAGUGGCACCUCCGAGUCAAAAACAAAAAACAAGUUAAAACUUUCAACAACGGAUCUCUUGGUUCUGGCAUCGAUGAAGAACGCAGC